AUUGAACGCUGGCGGCAGGCCUAACACAUGCAAGUCGAACGGUAACAGGAAGAAGCUUGCUUCUUUGCUGACGAGUGGCGGACGGGUGAGUAAUGUCUGGGAAACUGCCUGAUGGAGGGGGAUAACUACUGGAAACGGUAGCUAAUACCGCAUAACGUCGCAAGCCCAAAAAGGGGGACCUUCGGGCCUCUUGCCAUCGGAUGUGCCCAGAUGGGAUUAGCUAGUAGGUGGGGUAACGGCUCACCUAGGCGACGAUCCCUAGCUGGUCUGAGAGGAUGACCAGCCACACUGGAACGGGGACACGGUCCAGACUCCUACGGGAGGCAGCAGUGGGGAAUAUUGCACAAUGGGGGCAAGCCUGAUGCAGCCAUGCCGCGUGUAUGAAGAAGGCCUUCGGGUUGUAAAGUACGUUCAGCGGGGAGGAAGGGAGUAAAGUUAAUACCUUGGCUCAUUGACGUUACCCGCAGAAGAAGCACCGGCUAACUCCGUG
This 490-nucleotide ribosomal RNA is filed under the name uncultured bacterium. Its description in RNAcentral is "partial 16S ribosomal RNA". It matches the Rfam family "Bacterial small subunit ribosomal RNA", at positions 30 to 507 of the family's 1533-position model. The record is from RNAcentral.